This 253-nucleotide ribosomal RNA is filed under the name uncultured bacterium. RNAcentral describes it as "partial 16S ribosomal RNA". It matches the Rfam family "Bacterial small subunit ribosomal RNA", at positions 524 to 776 of the family's 1533-position model. The record is from RNAcentral.
UACGUAGGGUGCGAGCGUUGUCCGGAAUUACUGGGCGUAAAGAGCUCGUAGGCGGUUUGUCGCGUUGUUCGUGAAAACUCACAGCUUAACUGUGGGCGUGCGGGCGAUACGGGCAGACUGGAGUACUGCAGGGGAGACUGGAAUUCCUGGUGUAGCGGUGGAAUGCGUAGAUAUCAGGAGGAACACCGAUGGCGAAGGCAGGUCUCUGGGCUGACACUGACGCUCAUGCACGAAAGCGUGGGGAGCAAACAGG